Molecule: non-coding RNA, 23 nt
Filed under: Arabidopsis thaliana (thale cress)
Lineage: Eukaryota; Viridiplantae; Streptophyta; Magnoliopsida; Brassicales; Brassicaceae
Source: RNAcentral
GGGAUGGUCUAAGGAAAUAGAUA